UUUGGUGGUCAUAGCACGAGCAAAACACCCGGCUCCAUUCCGAACCCGGCCGUUAAGUGCCGUCGCGCCAAUGGUACUGCGUCUCAAGACGUGGGAGAGUAGGUCGCCGCCAAAC
Roseivivax halodurans JCM 10272 is the source of this 115-nucleotide ribosomal RNA. Lineage: Bacteria; Pseudomonadati; Pseudomonadota; Alphaproteobacteria; Rhodobacterales; Roseobacteraceae. The record is from Rfam.